This is a long non-coding RNA of Agrilus planipennis (emerald ash borer), 323 nucleotides long. RefSeq lists it as uncharacterized. The transcript has 3 exons. Lineage: Eukaryota; Metazoa; Arthropoda; Insecta; Coleoptera; Buprestidae. The record is from RefSeq and is a predicted model, not a curated record.
UUUGAUCGGUCGGUCGUCAGACUUGUGUGCAGUGGUCGGGUUGACGAUUUUUUUAAUCGUUCGCGUAAGGUUAUCAACGUAGAAUUAUAAAUUGUAAAGAAUUCUGCAACGUUUUGCUUUCCGGAUUUGCAGUAUUAUUCACAGGAUUAUGGAUAUACUUCCGAAUGAGUACCAUACUAGAAUUAAGUACAGUCCAUUCAAGUGCCGUAUUUUACAUGUUAAUUGCUACAGGGACUAUCACGGUCAUUGCUGGAUUUUUAGCUUGUUGCUUUACAGCUAAAGGUCAUUUAGGAUUUCUAUAUGCAUAUGGAUUUUUCAUACUU